Molecule: ribosomal RNA, 373 nt
Filed under: uncultured bacterium
Lineage: Bacteria
Description: bacterial SSU rRNA
Rfam family: Bacterial small subunit ribosomal RNA
Source: RNAcentral
UAAUACGAAGGACCCGAGCGUUAUCCGGAUUUACUGGGUUUAAAGGGUGCGUAGGUGGACCUAUAAGUCAGUGGUGAAAUCCUGCAGCUUAACUGCAGAACUGCCAUUGAUACUGUUGGUCUUGAGUAUAGUUGAGGUAGGCGGAAUAUGUCAUGUAGUGGUGAAAUACUUAGAUAUGACAUAGAACACCGAUUGCGAAGGCAGCUUGCUAAGCUAUAACUGACACUGAUGCACGAAAGCGUGGGGAGCAAACAGGAUUAGAUACCCUGGUAGUCCACGCCCUAAACGAUGAUAACUCGUUGUUGGCGAUACACAGUCAGCGACUAAGCGAAAGCAUUAAGUUAUCCACCUGGGGAGUACGACCGCAAGGUUG